UGGGGAAUAUUGCACAAUGGGCGCAAGCCUGAUGCAGCCAUGCCGCGUGUAUGAAGAAGGCCUUCGGGUUGUAAAGUACUUUCAGCGGGGAGGAAGGCGAUAAGGUUAAUAACCUUGUCGAUUGACGUUACCCGCAGAAGAAGCACCGGCUAACUCCGUGCCAGCAGCCGCGGUAAUACGGAGGGCGCAAGCGUUAAUAGGAAUUACUGGGCGUAAAGCGCACGCAGGCGGUCUGUCAAGUCGGAUGUGAAAUCCCCGGGCUCAACCUGGGAACUGCAUUCGAAACUGGCAGGCUAGAGUCUUGUAGAGGGGGGUAGAAUUCCAGGUGUAGCGGUGAAAUGCGUAGAGAUCUGGAGGAAUACCGGUGGCGAAGGCGGCCCCCUGGACAAAGACUGACGCUCAGGUGCGAAAGCGUGGGGAGCAAACA
This 427-nucleotide ribosomal RNA is filed under the name uncultured bacterium. RNAcentral describes it as "partial 16S ribosomal RNA". It matches the Rfam family "Bacterial small subunit ribosomal RNA", at positions 355 to 774 of the family's 1533-position model. The record is from RNAcentral.